Molecule: ribosomal RNA, 382 nt
Filed under: uncultured bacterium
Lineage: Bacteria
Description: bacterial SSU rRNA
Rfam family: Bacterial small subunit ribosomal RNA
Source: RNAcentral
AUUGAACGCUGGCGGCAUGCCUUACACAUGCAAGUCGAACGGCAGCGGACCUUCGGGUGCCGGCGAGUGGCGAACGGGUGAGUAAUAUAUCGGAACGUACCUUUCAGUGGGGGAUAACGUAACGAAAGUUACGCUAAUACCGCAUAUUCUGUGAGCAGGAAAGCAGGGGAUCGCAAGACCUUGCGCUGAUUGAGCGGCCGAUAUCAGAUUAGCUAGUUGGUGAGGUAAAGGCUCACCAAGGCGACGAUCUGUAGCGGGUCUGAGAGGAUGAUCCGCCACACUGGAACUGAGACACGGUCCAGACUCCUACGGGAGGCAGCAGUGGGGAAUUUUGGACAAUGGGCGCAAGCCUGAUCCAGCCAUGCCGCGUGAGUGAAGAAGG